CUACGAGAUCCGCGUCCUGCCCCCCGCCCCCCGCGCCCCCCCGUUCCUCUUCACGGUCAGCCCCAUCUCCCUGGACCCCCAAAUCCGGGGGUGCCCUGGGUGGGGGGGAGGGGGCCCGGACACCUGAGCCCCGUCUACCGAGGACCCCCCCAUUCCCAGGCUGAACAUCCCGGGAUGCGGACGUACUGCCUGGGGGCUGAGACCCCUGAGGAACUGCACGCCUGGGUCCGCGCCCUGCGCCGGGGGGCAUCGCCCCUGCCCGGCUCCCCCCGCUCCGUUCCCCAGCAGACACUCCAGGAACUCCGAGGUGCAGAUCCUCCCUCUCCCUCACUGCACACACACUCUCCAGGUGAGGGGCUCGGGGGCCCACCCGUGCCCCCUCCUUGCUGCCCCGCAGGCCCUCCACUGCCCCACAGCCAGGUACCUCCAGCCCAGGAGGAGCCCCCGGUACGGGGAUGUCCCCCGAGGGCCGGGCACACGCCGACGGGACCGCGGGAACCUCCCGAGCCCGUUCCCGCAGGUGAGACCCGGCCACGCCCCGGCCACACCCCUCGGUGGAGGGACACCGCCCAUUCUGACCCCGCCUCCAUAGGGCGGAGCCCGAGGAAGCCCCGCCCCUCUGGAGCACCUCCGCAGCCGCCGCCGGAGCGAGUCAUCGGGAGCGAUCGGCCGCCGGCCUCUCCAGCCGCCUCUUCUGAUUGGCUGCCGAGCCCUGACGGGCCCGCGGGCACCGCCUCCGCGCCGGCAUCCAAUGAAGCGUCGCAGCGGCGGCGGGCGGGGGCGGGUGGGCGUGGCUGGGCGCGCGAAGGUGUGGCCGGGCGGCCAAUCAGAAUCACUCUGCUGCAGGCCAGCUUCUAAGGGGGCGGAGCCGGGCCGAGGGGGCGGGGCCCGGUGGGCACGCGCCGCGCGCGGCCCCGCCCCGGUGCGGAAGAUGGCGGCGGGAGCGCGCGGCGGGAGCGCGGCGCUGCGGCGGCUGCGGGGCGGGGGCGCGGGCGCGGCCCCGCGGGGCGCGCGGUGAGUGGGGACCCCCCGGGCGGGGACCCCUGGAACCCCCGCCCUGAGAGCCCCUGAGGCAUCCUCGGAUCCCUCAUCCUCCCCCGCACUAUGCGUGCACCCCGCUCCCCGCAUCUCCCCCGCGGGGACACGCCGCAUCCUCCCCCCUGGACCCUGCAGCUCCCUCGGACCCCGCAUCCCUCCUGCUCCCCGCAUCCCCCCGGGCGGAGACCCCACCUUUGAGCCCUUGAGGCCCAGGUCUCCUCCGCUUUUCGCAUCCUCCGGGCGAGGACACUCGCAUCCCGCUCCCCUGAGCCCUCCCAUUCCCCCCCGGACCCCGCAUUCCCCCCGAACUCCGCAUCCCCCCGGACCGGGACACCCGUAUCCCCUCUUCUGAGACCCCUGAUCCCCACCCUUGUUCCCGCAUGCCCCCCUCUUCCCGCAUCGCUUCGGGAGGGGACCCCCGCACCCCACUGCUUUCCUGAUCCUUCCCCCUGAUCCCCGCAUCCUCCCCGGACUCCGGACCCUGCAUCUCCUCGGGUCGGGACACCCACACCCCGCUACCCUGACCUCCCCUGGACCCCUCAUCCCCUCCGGACCCCGGAGCCCCCCGCUGCCCGACUCCCCCCGGGCAGGGACCCCACACCCCCCGCCCCUGAGCCCCCUGAGCCCUCCCCUAAGCCCGCGGCCCUCCCGGACCCCGCGGGCGGCCCCCAGAGUGGCCCCACGGUCGUUGCCUCGCUGGGGACAAAGGUCUGGCCGCAGCUGGACCCGGGGCCGAGGGGCCCCGUCCUCCCCCCGCCACUGCCCUGGUGGGGAACCCGGCCUUCUCCGGGGCACCGGAGCCACCCCUGGGGCUGCCGGGGAACCGCGGGGGACAGGCUGGGGGGCUGCUCCCAUCGCCCCCUGUCCCCUUGUCACCUUGCCCGUGGAAGGGUCACCAGCACCAGAACGGCCCCUGGGCCAAGGGGAUCCUAUGGGGGAAUGCCCCCAUUGCCCCAUGUCCCCUUUCCCGUGGAGGGGUCACUGUCACUGGAGGGGCCACUGGGGCUGAGGGGGCUCCCGUGUGGGCUGUCCCCUUUGUCCCACACCCCCACUCCAGUGUCCUUGUUCGUUUGGGCCGCAUAGCCAAAACCCCUCUGAAUUCAUGGGGACAGACUGGAACUGGGGACAGACUCACCCCAGAACGGGGACAGGGCGCCCAGAAUGAACUGAGCAGAGGCCGAUGAAGUCCUGG
Long non-coding RNA from Cyanoderma ruficeps (rufous-capped babbler), 2230 nucleotides. The record is from Ensembl. NCBI's taxonomy places the organism in Eukaryota, Metazoa, Chordata, Aves, Passeriformes, Timaliidae.